GCCUGGAUGGUGGAAUUGGUAGACACAGGGGACUCAAAAUCCCCCGGCUUCGGUCGUGAGGGUUCGAUUCCCUCUUUAGGCACCA
This 85-nucleotide transfer RNA is filed under the name bacterium. Its description in RNAcentral is "tRNA-Leu". It matches the Rfam family "tRNA". Rfam says of the family: Transfer RNA (tRNA) molecules are approximately 80 nucleotides in length. Their secondary structure includes four short double-helical elements and three loops (D, anti-codon, and T loops). RNAcentral also lists the same sequence under 1 other name. The record is from RNAcentral.